Molecule: unclassified non-coding RNA, 2997 nt
Filed under: Hevea brasiliensis (rubber tree)
Lineage: Eukaryota; Viridiplantae; Streptophyta; Magnoliopsida; Malpighiales; Euphorbiaceae
Source: RNAcentral
AUGAGCCCGAUCUCUAACGUUACUCCUUCGGUCAUUAAAUAGAAAGCCCAGAUCAGCAUCCUUCUGGCCUUCCUCUCCAGGUCUUACAAUAUGUACUGAACCAAUCCAACCGGAAGGAACUACAAGGGCACAACUUGCUGGUGUUCAAAACCAAAUGCCACCGCCAAUCUCUGCCGCGCAGGGCUCUGAUGAUGACCAGUCACCUUCAUCUUCUGGUCCACCCGUGGAAAUCUCUGAUUCCGACCUCGAAAAAGAUGAUCAGGAAACUGAAAUAGAAGUAGAGGAAGAAGAAAUCGAGAAUGAUAACGAAGAAGAAGAAUAUGAAGAGAUUAUAGUAGUAGAGGAAGAAGAGAUAGAAGAAGAAGUUGAAGUAGAAGAAGAUGAUAUGUCAGAUUCAUCAAAGGAAGCUAAUGUCAAAAGUAAUGAUGUUAGUCAAGAUACGGAGUUUGAGGGGACUGACAGGCAAUUGGGAUUACGUUCUACUCCUGGAAGGUCUUCGCUGGGGCUACCGUCUAAUUCCCUUGUAGAAGAUGGUGUCUGUAAUUCCCAAUUUUCUGGUCCUUUGAAUGAACCAGUGAAAUUGCAGGAGGAAUUGCAUGUGAACUAUGAGGAUUCCAAGUGUCUUCUUAAAUCAGGAACCAAUGGGGAGAAUGGAAGUCAACGGUCUCUAGUUAAAAACGACACUGAGGCCCUUAUGAUAAAGAAAAAAUCUAAAGAAAUCAGCAAACACUAUAGUGAUAGCAUGGCUCAUUUUUUCAACGAUGAAGCUAUGGCUGCUGAGACCACCAGUCCAUCUAGUAUCACAGGAAAUGAGGUGUCUAAUGCCUUAGCUAUAAAAGACAGCUUAGGUAUGGAGACUAAUGGUAUUCUGGAUUCUGAGGUAGAUGUUAAUCCAAUGGAAAAACGGUCAGGGGAUAAAAAGCAAACAACAUCAAGGUUUUCCAGAUUGGUUACUUUGGAGAAAAGAACUCGAAGUCUAUCCCCUUCUGCUGAAUUCGAGGAUCAGAACAAGCGCCCAGCUGUUAUAUGUGACUUUUUUUCUAAAGGGUGGUGCAUUAGAGGUAGUUCAUGUACGUUCCUUCAUAUAAAAAAUAAAACUGUUAAUGCUAAAGAACAACUGGAGGGAGAUGCAGCUGCUGCAAAUUUCUCAAAAAGAGACCAGUUCGAUGAAGGUUUGAAAAACAUAACGGAAAAACCGAAGUUCCCUGGCUUUCCUGACCUAAUGGCUUCUUCAAUAGGAAAUAGUGCUGCAUUUUCUUGUCAGUUCUCUUCAGAAAGAAUCUUGGCACUUGAAAAUGGAGAAAGCCAAAGGUUGCAUCAGUUGGAUGACAAACAUAAGUCUUUAUCACUUCAGAGAGAGGACUUAUCUCAAGGUUUCCACUCUGACACACAGCAAUUUCCUUCAUCAAAAGAUGAUCAUGGCGUUUCUUCCUCCUUAAAAAAUGUAGGGAUAGAGAAUCUUAGACGAAGUUGGCCUGCUUCUGAUUAUGGUAGCUAUGCCUCUCCAAUUAAUAGAGGUAGCUCUCCCUCAUUCCAGAGCAGAUUGCUUCCUGAACUUAGAUAUUCUUCAAGUUUCUCAUCUGUAACAUCAAGCAAUAACCAUCGAGAAAAUUCUUUUUCUUAUUUGAGCAGUCUGGACAAUCUAACAUAUAUUAGAGAUCAAUUUGUGCAAGGUACAAGCCUGGAUGGUUCUCUAUCAAGUAGUGUUAUGUUGCCAUCUCAGCAGAUCUCAGCUUGGAAAGGACCAUCGUUUUCUUUUAGUUCCUCUUUGAAUACAAGUCCUUUUGGUUCUCAAAAGCUGUCAGACAAUGAUAGAAACUAUCAUGCUUCUAGAUCAUUACGGCAAAGUGCUUCCCUUCUCUUUGGUUCUGAGCGAGAAACUUCACUUCUAACCAGUGUAUCUAGGGAUCCAUUGCACUAUGCAGAACAUAAAGCAAAAAUUUCCUCAAAUGACUGGGAACCAUCCAUACCUUUUAGGCCAUCUUUUUCUAUCACUCAUACAAUGGCAUCAUCUCCUGGAAGCCAAUAUGAUCCUCUUCGUGAUAGCAUCGACUUAUCCACUACAGGAUACAGACUUCCCUUCAAAUUUUCUUUUGUUAGUCAAGAGAGAUCCAACCUUAAUUCAUCACAUCAACCAAUAUAUGACAACUCAUUAAGUAAAACCCUUGGAUCAGAAUGUCAUAAUGACAAAAGUACUGUGUCUCUUCAUGGUAGGUUCCAUGAAAAUGUGUUGGACAAGAAUUGCUAUACACCUGGAAAAGUGAUGGGGGGAACUUGUGUGGUCAGUGGACAAAAAGGAACCAUGCCCAAAGAAGAAAAUGCUUCAAGCAGCGGUCAUCUCAGUGAUGUACCAAAUACAAGCAAAAUUGAUGUUGAUUGUGAUUCUAGGCAUGAGUAUGAUGCGCCAAGACAUAAACAGGACUUCAAGGUAGAUAGGGUUAGGCAAAAGAAUGAAAUGGAUGUUGACCAAAAGACAGAUGGAGAAUCAAGAGUUCUGAGACAUUUUCGUGCUGCUCUUAUUGAUUUUGUUAAAGAAUUGUUGAGACCAACCUGGCGCGAGGGUCAUCUCAGCAAGGAUGCACAUAACACCAUAGCUAAAAAGGCAGUUGAAAAGGUUCUUCGCACCUUGCAGCCUCAUCAAAUUCCAACUACGGUGGAAUCAACUAGGCAGUAUCUUUCGUCAUCUCAACCCAAAAUUGCAAAGCUUGUUGAGGGAUACUGUACAAAGUAUGGGAAGUCUUGACAUGCCAGGCCUAGCUUUUUCUUUUUCUUUUGUACAGUUUCCUACACAUUCUAGUGUUUGAAAAUUGCAAGAGGCUUGUUUGACAUAAUUAAAACUGAGAUUCAGGUUGAAUGUUAUGGAUUUUUAUCAAAUGUUGUUAUUUAUGGAUUUUUGUUUCUUCCUAUCUGAUCUUUUUGAAAUGAAAUAUAGAAAUUAUAUCUGGUUGUAGUUUGGUUUUUGUGCCUUAAAAGAACAUCUUGUUUAUUGAAUACAGG